UACGUAGGGACCGAGCGUUGUCCGGAAUCAUUGGGCGUAAAGGGCGCGUAGGCGGCGGGGUAAGUCGGGUGUGAAAUCUCAGGGCUCAACCCUGAAACUGCACUCGAUACUGCUCUGCUUGAGGACUGGAGAGGAGACUGGAAUUCACGGUGUAGCAGUGAAAUGCGUAGAUAUCGUGAGGAAGACCAGUGGCGAAGGCGGGUCUCUGGACAGUUCCUGACGCUGAGGCGCGAAGGCCAGGGGAGCAAACGGG
Molecule: ribosomal RNA, 253 nt
Filed under: uncultured bacterium
Lineage: Bacteria
Description: partial 16S ribosomal RNA
Rfam family: Bacterial small subunit ribosomal RNA
Source: RNAcentral